Molecule: ribosomal RNA, 465 nt
Filed under: uncultured bacterium
Lineage: Bacteria
Description: partial 16S ribosomal RNA
Rfam family: Bacterial small subunit ribosomal RNA
Source: RNAcentral
GACGAACGCUGGCGGCGUGCUUAACACAUGCAAGUCGAACGGAAAGGCCCUGCUUGCCGGGUACUCGAGUGGCGAACGGGUGAGUAACACGUGGGUGAUCUGCCCUGCACUUCGGGAUAAGCCUGGGAAACUGGGUCUAAUACCGGAUAGGAGCCAUUUUUAGUGUGAUGGUUGGAAAGUUUUUUCGGUGUAGGAUGAGCUCGCGGCCUAUCAGCUUGUUGGUGGGGUAAUGGCCUACCAAGGCGGCGACGGGUAGCCGGCCUGAGAGGGUGGACGGCCACAUUGGGACUGAGAUACGGCCCAGACUCCUACGGGAGGCAGCAGUGGGGAAUAUUGCACAAGGGGCGCAAGCCUGAUGCAGCGACGCCGCGGGGGGGAUGACGGCCUUCGGGUUGUAAACGCCUUUCGCUAGGGACGAAGCUUUUUGUGACGGUACCUAGAUAAGAAGCACCGGCUAACUACGUG